Vigna angularis (adzuki bean) is the source of this 81-nucleotide non-coding RNA. The record is from Rfam. NCBI's taxonomy places the organism in Eukaryota, Viridiplantae, Streptophyta, Magnoliopsida, Fabales, Fabaceae.
CAGUUAGAGGAAUGAUGUACUACUACCGGGCUCUCAAGAUGUUGACUUUUCUGGAUUCUGCAUCAGAAAUGGAUAUUAGAG